This 266-nucleotide ribosomal RNA is filed under the name uncultured Candidatus Sumerlaeota bacterium. RNAcentral describes it as "partial 16S ribosomal RNA". It matches the Rfam family "Bacterial small subunit ribosomal RNA", at positions 1113 to 1382 of the family's 1533-position model. Lineage: Bacteria; Candidatus Sumerlaeota. The record is from RNAcentral.
AGUUACCAGCGCGUCAUGCGGGGACUCUAAGAGGACCGCGCCGUAAGGCGGAGGAAGUGGGGAUGACGUCAAGUCCUCAUGGCCCUUAUGUCUUGGGCUACACACGUCCUACAAUGGUCGGUACAGAGGGAUGCCAACCCGCGAGGGUGAGCCGAUCCCUUAAAGCCGGUCCCAGUUCAGAUUGCAGUCUGCAACUCGACUGCAUGAAGUCGGAAUCGCUAGUAAUCGCGGAUCAGCAUGCCGCGGUGAAUACGUUCCCGGGGUUU